RNAcentral lists this ribosomal RNA (253 nucleotides) under uncultured bacterium. Its description in RNAcentral is "partial 16S ribosomal RNA". It matches the Rfam family "Bacterial small subunit ribosomal RNA", at positions 524 to 776 of the family's 1533-position model. The record is from RNAcentral.
UACGUAGGGAGCAAGCGUUGUCCGGAAUCAUUGGGCGUAAAGCGCGUGUAGGCGGUUACAUAAGUCUGUUGUGAAAGUCGGAGGCUCAACCUUCGAAAGCCGAUGGAUACUGUGUGACUUGAGUACGGAAGAGGAGACUGGAAUUCCUGGUGUAGCGGUGAAAUGCGCAGAUAUCAGGAGGAACACCGGUGGCGAAGGCGGGUCUCUGGGCCGAUAUUGACGCUGAGGAGCGAAAGCGUGGGGAGCGAACAGG